RNAcentral lists this signal recognition particle RNA (317 nucleotides) under Candidatus Wukongarchaeota archaeon. RNAcentral describes it as "signal recognition particle sRNA". It matches the Rfam family "Archaeal signal recognition particle RNA". Lineage: Archaea; Promethearchaeati; Candidatus Wukongarchaeota. The record is from RNAcentral.
AUGCUGGGUAGGACUGAAGGGUUAGGCCCCCUCUGUAACCGGCAGCAUGGUCUAUAGCCGGGGUUAGUAACCCAAGGCCAGGUCUCCCAAGCUUUCAUAAGCCCCUUUGGUGUGACUAUGAAGCUCUGUCCCACGGGAUCGGCGUGGAUGGAGGCCCCUUCGGAGGAAGGGGGGAAACCACUGAACUAGGCGAAACAGGCUAGGCCCGGAAGGGAGCAGCCUAAGUCUAGGCGUCCGGUGCUUGUGGAUCAACGGGGUGGAGAACCGCCAAAAGGAAACUGUGAAAGUAAAGAAGGUCGAACCUUGGGAGCCAGCAU